AGCGAUACAAACUCAAUUUAAAUAAAUUAUUAUAACAAAGAUAUACAUUUCUUUAUCUUAUUGGUGGCACACCAAAGGUAUAGUUAGACCAUAUAGAAUUUGCCAAGCACACUAAAAUAUGUUGAAAUGAAGGUGUUAAAGUUAAAUGGACCAUAGGAGGUUGGUUUAUAAUGAUGUGCCAUCAAACAGACAUUUUGUCAACCCAUUGAGGGGUUGACUUACCUGUUCUUAAAAAAUAGAUUUUUUAAAACCUACCAACAUUCCAACAUUAGCAAAGUUGACUUCACCUACACCCCACGUGACCAUAUAUAUUGAAAGUCGAAACGAAAAGAGGCAAAAGAGGCCUAUCAUUAGCCAAGCCCUCUCUUAUAUCAACUAAACUGGUGCCAACAUUAUAUAUAACGUUUACACCAUAUUUAAUUAUUUUGUUCUAAGUCAUUUUUAUCUAAACUUUUCAGGUCAUACAUGUUGUCGAAACUUUUUUUAUCGGUCGACUUUUUAUCUAAAAAAUGAAAAUGGCGCAACUUUGACUUCUUAUUAAUAAAAAAAUUAUUAAAGUAACCCUAGCCAAGAAUGCUUUGCUUAGUAUCCUAGAGAGAACAAUUUUUUCUGUGGCUUAGGAUGGAGGAGAGUGGUGGCGCAGAGGGUUUUGAAGGAGACAAGAUCUCCCUAUUGGUAGAGGAACUUGUCCAAUUAUCAGUAAAAAGCUCGGUGUGGUACCAAGCGAAAAACCAACCCUAUUAUGCACAAUAUGGACGAAGAAAUCUUAUAAUCCAGAUAGCUUCAGGGCACAAAUCAAAAGUAUUUGGAAGACAAGGAAGAAAUUCGAGAUUAAAUUGGCAGGACAAAAUCUUUUUUUGAUAAUGUUUAAGAGUGAAGAAGAUCUAGAAUUAGUUAUGGCGGGGCAACCAUAGCUGUUUCGGAAAAAUUUAGUAAUUUUUGAUAGGUUGACUAGAUCGAUGGAAAGAAGUCAAAUCUGACUUAAUUGAUCACUGUUUUGGAUUAAGAUUGGACCAUGUUCACCAGAAUUUGAUAAAAAAAGAUCUGAUGCAUGCUAUUGGCGUUACUUUUGGAGGUGUUUUGAGAUCUGAAAUUAAUGGAGAAUUCUGUCGGCUAAGAAUCAAAUUAGAUGUGCAAAAACCCUUGCGAAGGGGUAUUUUUGUCUCAACAGAAAAUCAAAGUAAGUCUUGGAUUUCUUUUAAAAUAUGAAAAUUUACCUACAUUCUGUUUUGGUUGUGGAAAGACGGGGCAUGGGCUCAUAGACUACCAAGAGUUUACACCUGUAGAAAGAAACAAAGUCAGAAUUGAUCCUCCUUUUUCUUUAGCUUUAAAAGCAGAAUUAAAUUUAGUUGGAAGAGAGAGUCUAAUGUUUAAAGCCAACUCAAAGAAGAUGCAGCCUCAAUGUUCAUACGUAGGUAAUACUGAGAAUUUUACUGAAUUAAAUCUAGAAGUUGAUGGAAAAAGUGUUAUAUCCCAAGCUAAUUCACAAUGUACAGAAAAAGAGAUAGCGUUAAAGCUGUAGGAGGAUAAAAUGGAUAUAGAAGAUAAGGCUAUCGGGGCAUCUAAUAAUUCUACAAGAACUUUGAAUCCAGCCAAAAAAUUGAGUUGGAAGUGAAUCAAGGUAGAAAGAAGGGUGGAUUCUUACAACGAUGAAAGUAGACUAAGAAAAAGAAAAUCAGAAGAGUGUGCUUUUGAAAAAGAUGAUUCAAAAAUCUCUUGUGAAGAUGAAACAAAGAGAAUGAAGUACAAGGGCAAAUAAUUUCAAACAGGAGAAUAUACAAUUUUGUCGGCUGAAUAUUUCCCACAGGAAUAUGAUUUUCACCAAUAUAGAUCGGCGGGUGCCAAAAGGCAUACUGACCGGGCACAAUGAAAACUAUAUGUUGAAAUGUCCGUGGAUUGGGGAGUCUACAAGCAACACGAAGGCUUUGGUAUUUGCUGAAGCAAGAUAAGCCCCAAAUGGUCUUCUUUAUGGAGACUAAAAUUGAUGAAAAGCGCAUGGAAAAAAUUAGAAGGAGAUGUGGUUUCGAGAAUGGAACUAAUGUAGGAACAGAAGGGUCUAGAGGUGGAAUUUGUAUGGCGUGGAAAACAGGAACUAAUGUAACUCUUAAAAAUUUCUCAAGAAGCCAUAUUGAUGUAAUGGUAAAGGAGGAAAAUAUCAAUGAAGAGUGACGGUUUACAGGAUUUUAUGGAUCACCUUAUGUUCAUGAUAAGAAUGCCUCGUGGAAUUUAUUAAAGCAAUUGGGUAAAGAUCAAAAUCACCCAUGACUGGUAUGUGGUGAUUUUAACGAAAUAAUGUAUUCUUAUGAGAAAAACAAUGGUCUAUCGGGGGAAGAAAAAAGAAUGGAAGCUUUUCGCGAAGUUCUAAAUGAAUGUCAGUUAAUGGACGUGGGUUACAUGGGGGUUUGGUUCAUAUGGGAGAGAGGAAACUUACCGGGAACAAAUAUUAAAGAAAGGCUGGAUAGAGGCAUGACGAAUGAGAAGUGGAUGCAACUUUUUCCAAGUGGAACUAUUCAUCAUUUUACACACUCAAUUUCAGAUCAUUGCCCCUUACUUAUAAAUACUAAUAAGGGAAAAAUCAAUAAAGGAAUCUCAAGUUUCAAAUUCGAGGCAUGGUGGACUUUGGAGGAAUCCAUUGAACAAGAGAUUAAAAAAGCGUGGGAGUUUUCAGAUGGAUCUAUAUGCGAAAAACGAGAGGCUACAAUUCAGAUUGGUGAAUUGGGCGAGCGUAAUAAAGAGGGACUGAGAUGGUUUAAAGAAUAGGCUCACAAAGGAACUUGAAGAACUACUUGAAAGCGAUAGAGAUGAUGCCACAAUGGCAAAGCUGAUUGAUAUUAGAAUUCGACUCAAAAUGGAAAUUGAAAAAGACGAAAUGUACUGGGAACAAAGGGCACGAGCUAAUUGGCUCCAAUUAGAGGAUAAGAACUCAGUAUUUUUUCACAAGUAUGCCUUAGUACGUAAACGAAUUAAUACUAUUACUACGCUGGAAGCUGAUGGAGGUCAUGAAAUUACUGAUGAGUCAGCAAUUAAUGAGGCUAUUCAAAUUAUUUUCAAAAUUUAUUCACAUCGAAGUGAGUAGGGAAUUUAUCCCAUCUGCUAGAGGGUGUUAAGACUAAUAUUUCAUCCGACAUAAAUGAAGAUUUGCUAGUACCAUUUAAAGUAGAAGAGGUUUUUUCAGCUUUGAAAGGAAUGGGGCCUACUAAAGCGCCAAGUUGUGAUGGUUUUCCAGCAUUAUUUUUUCAGAGAUUCUGGCAUAUUGUAGGUAAGAAUGUUGAGAAAUUUUGCUUGGGAAUUCUGAAUGAUGGAAAAAUUUUUGAUUCUCUAAAUCUUACUGAUAUUGUACUUAUUCCAAAACUACCAAAACCCACAAGUCUAGCUAAUUUCAGACCCAUCUGCCUAUGCACAGUUUUACACAAAAUUGUGGCAAAAACAAUUGCAAAUCGGUUUCAGGAGGUCAUUAGAAGAAGUAUAAGGCCCAAAGUACUUUUGUUCUAGGAAGAUUAAUUACUGAUAACGUGCUAGUAGCUUACGAAAUCUUACACACGUUACGACAGAAACGAAUCGAAAAAAAAAGGGCUUAUGGUAGUUAAAUAAGAUAUGAGCAAAGCCUAUGAUAGAGUCGAAUGGUUUUUUUUUAAAGGAAGUUAUACUGAGAAUGGGUUAUGCAAAGGAAUGGGUGUCAUUGAUUAUGAAAUGCAUAUCCACAGUAUCUUACACAGUCAACAUUAAUGAAAGAAGAUGAAGGGUUUUUAAACCCACUUGAGAGCUCCGUCAGGGUGAUCCACUUAGUCAUUUUCUCUUUCUAAUAUGCAGUGAGGGACUCUCGUCUUUCAUAAGAAUAGCGACAACUGACGGUCUACUUAAAGGAGUAAGAGCAAGUCGAAGAGGGCCAGCGAUUUCCUAUCUACUGUUCGCAGACGAUUGUAUUUUGUUUGGCCAAGCGACAAAUAGAGGAGCAAGAAUAUUAAAAGGAAUUUUGGAAGAAUAUGAACAGUGCUCAGGACAAUGCGUGAAUUUUAACAAGUCAACGAUUUUCUACAGCUCAAAACAACAAAAAGGGACAAAGAAGAGGUAUCAAUAAUAUUAAGGGUAAGAUGCUCCACAAAUUUGGAAAAAUAUCUUGGCCUCCCUAAUGUGGUAGGCAGAAGGAAAAAUGAAGCUUUCCAGAAUCUAAAGGAUAAACUUAAUUCAAAGAUUGAUAGUUGGAGCACAAGACUACUGUCAUAAGGGGGUAAGGAGGUUUUUAUCAAGUCAGUGCUUCAAGCAAUUCCAGCUUAUGCUAUGUCAUGUUUUCUCCUACCAAAAUCUUUUUAUGGGGAGCUGGAAAAUAUUUUCGCUAAAUUCUGGUGACAAAAAGGGCAGGGAAGAAAAGGAAUACCCUGGUGUCAAUGGAGAUAUAUGUGCUGAUCAAAAGAAGAAGGGGGUACGGGUUUUAGAAAUCUGUUGCAAUUUAAUAUCUCACUACUAGCAAAGCAAGGAUGGAGGAUCAUAAUAAUCAGGAUUCGUUGGUUACGCAAGUUUUUAAAAUAAAAUAUUUUCCCAAUGAGUAUUUUUUAAAUUCUUGAUUUGGAAAAACUAGCUCUUAUAUUUGGAAAAGCAUAUGGGCAGCAAGAGGUAUUUUAGAAAAAGGUAUAUGCUGGAGGGUUGGCACAGGUUCAAACAUUUCUAUUAAUGAUGAUGCGUGGAUUCCAGAUACUGUUAAUUUUAGAUUAUCUUCAGUUGUUAAUACUAUGCGAGAUGCAAAGGUUAGUGAGCUGAUAAAUAGGAAUGCGAGAAUAUAGGAUAGAGAACUCAUCAAUAAUACCUUUUCAACGACCGAUGCUGGGAAAAUCCUCCAGAUACCUUUAGCACGCACACCUCAUGAAGAUCUGCUUGUAUGGGGAGGUGAACAUUCAGGGGAAUUCUCGGUACACAGCGCCUAUAAACUAUUACAAAAAUCUAAUGAAAUUCCAAGAGCUUAUCCUUUACAAACCAACUACGGGAACUUUUAUAAGAAAUUAUGGCGCCUAAAUCUACCGACUAAAAUAAAGAUUAUAGUAUGGAGAAUUUUUUGGAACUAUUUUCCUAAGAAGGUUAAUAUGCAACACUGGAAACUUGUUAGUUCAAACUAUCCCUGAAGUGGAAAAAGAAAUGAAACAAUCGAUCAUAUCUUCCGAGAAUGUCUUGUCACAGUGGAAGUUUGGGCACUAUGAAAACUUCAAAAUAUUCUUAUGAAUCCAAACAUGGAUUUUUUUAUAGUGGAUUACCUGAGACUUUGGAUAGUUCACUACAUGCUAGAAUAUACUUUUCUACUGUAGUCUCUGGGCUAUCUAGGGCGAAAGAAAUAAAAGAAAAAUGAGCAAAGAAUUAGUACAGGUCAAGAAAUAAUGAACUUCAUCAAUAAUUAUCUUGCUGAACUUAAUGGUCUUGAUAAGAUGAAGUCAAAAAGAGAGAAGAAAAAUAAAAGAUGGACCCAUCCACCUAAUGAGUUCGUCAAAAUUAAUUUUGAUGGUGCCUAUGAUUUGACUCAUGAAUAAUCUGCCUCAGGAAUAGUAACCAGAAAUAAAGAAGGAGCUGUUUUACUCACUUGCUCAGAGGUUCACCACGAAGCAACUUCUGCCUUUACAGCUGAAGCAAUCGCGUGUAGAAAAGCGGUCCAAAUAGCAGUCGAACAGGAAUGGCCGAAAAUUAUUAUAGAAGGUGAUUCCCUCACAAUAAUAAAGAAAUGUUUAUCAAAGAGUCAAGAUCGAUCAUGUAUUGAAGCAUAUAUAUAUAUGAUAUUAAGCAGAAACUAAAUAGAUCUAGGGGUUCAAUGUUAAAACACACACCAAGAUUGGCAAAUGCUCUCGCGCAUAUAGUGGCAACAGAGUUGCUGAAAAGGAAAUAAGAACUGUACCUGGUAAUGGAAGUCCCAGAAUAUGCUAAAGAACAAAGACAGAUCGACCGAAGAAGGGAACUAGAUUGAGGAGAGAAUGAAGAAGAAAAGAAUAAGAGGAAAGAAAAAGAAAGAAGAUGCAUCAGUUUGAAAAGAACAUCUUUCCAUAAAAAUUGAACCGUCAAAAGCAAAGAAAAGAAAUGAAGUCUCCAGAUGAAUAGACAGGGUUCAGAAGUUCUGUUUGGGCAUUAAUUAGGCGUAAUAAUUAUGAAUCUCUAGACUGUUUCGAUUAAAAUAUCUAGAUUUUCUUAGCUUUUUGGGCUCCUUUGUAUUGGGUCGUUUUAGUAGAUUAGCUUUGCUUAGCUGUUUUCACUGUUAGGUUUUGUAAUUCAUUUUCCAAUAAUAAGCCCAGUCUGAAAGUUUC
This 6275-nucleotide long non-coding RNA is filed under the name Gossypium barbadense (sea-island cotton). Its description in RNAcentral is "long non-coding RNA (GBAR_LNC011712)". The record is from RNAcentral. Lineage: Eukaryota; Viridiplantae; Streptophyta; Magnoliopsida; Malvales; Malvaceae.